This 899-nucleotide ribosomal RNA is filed under the name uncultured archaeon. RNAcentral describes it as "bacterial SSU rRNA". It matches the Rfam family "Archaeal small subunit ribosomal RNA", at positions 1 to 906 of the family's 1478-position model. The record is from RNAcentral.
UUUCUGGUUGAUCCCGCCAGACCUGACUGCUAUCGGAUUGAUACUAAGCCAUGCGAGUCAUUGUAGCAAUACAAGGCAUACGGCUCAGUAACGCGUAGUCAACCUAACCUAUGGACGGGAAUAACCUCGGGAAACUGAGAAUAAUGCCCGAUAGAACAUUAUACCUGGAAUGGUUUAUGUUCCAAAUGAUUUAUCGCCGUAGGAUGGGACUGCGGCCUAUCAGUUUGUUGGUGAGGUAAUGGCCCACCAAGACUAUUACAGGUACGGGCUCUGAGAGGAGUAGCCCGGAGAUGGGUACUGAGACACGGACCCAGGCCCUAUGGGGCGCAGCAGGCGAGAAAACUUUGCAAUGUGCGAAAGCACGACAAGGUUAAUCCGAGUGAUUUCUGCUAAAGAAAUCUUUUGUUAGUCCUAGAAACACUAACGAAUAAGGGGUGGGCAAGUUCUGGUGUCAGCCGCCGCGGUAAAACCAGCACCUCAAGUGGUCAGGAUGAUUAUUGGGCCUAAAGCAUCCGUAGCCGGCUCUGUAAGUUUUCGGUUAAAUCUGUACGCUUAACGUACAGGCCGCCGGGAAUACUGCAAAGCUAGGGAGUGGGAGAAGUAGACGGUACUCGGUAGGAAGUGGUAAAAUGCUUUGAUCUAUCGAUGACCACCUGUGGCGAAGGCGGUCUACUAGAACACGUCCGACGGUGAGGGAUGAAAGCUGGGGGAGCAAACCGGAUUAGAUACCCGGGUAGUCCCAGCUGUAAACUAUGCAAACUCAGUGAUGCAUUGGCUUGUGGCCAAUGCAGUGCUGCAGGGAAGCCGUUAAGUUUGCCGCCUGGGAAGUACGUACGCAAGUAUGAAACUUAAAGGAAUUGGCGGGGGAGCACCACAAGGGGUGAAGCCUGCGGUUCAAU